This 449-nucleotide ribosomal RNA is filed under the name uncultured prokaryote. RNAcentral describes it as "bacterial SSU rRNA". It matches the Rfam family "Bacterial small subunit ribosomal RNA", at positions 355 to 796 of the family's 1533-position model. The record is from RNAcentral.
UAGGGAAUCUUGGGCAAUGGGCGAAAGCCUGACCCAGCCAUGCCGCGUGUGUGAAGAAGGCCUUAGGGUUGUAAAGCACUUUCAGUCGUGAAGAAAAGCGAAGGGUUAAUACCCCUUGGCCUUGACGUUAACGACAGAAGAAGCACCGGCUAACUCCGUGCCAGCAGCCGCGGUAAUACGGAGGGUGCGAACGUUAAUCGGAAUUACUGGGCGUAAAGCGCGCGUAGGCGGUUCGAUAAGUGGGAUGUGAAAGCCCCGGGCUCAACCUGGGAACUGCAUUCCAAACUGUCGGGCUAGAGUAUGGUAGAGGGAGGUAGAAUUUCCUGUGUAGCGGUGAAAUGCGUAGAUAUAGGAAGGAAUACCGGUGGCGAAGGCGGCCUCCUGGACCAAUACUGACGCUGAGGUGCGAAAGCGUGGGGAGCAAACAGGAUUAGAUACCCGGGUAGUCC